Molecule: long non-coding RNA, 1422 nt
Organism: Oncorhynchus tshawytscha (Chinook salmon)
Lineage: Eukaryota; Metazoa; Chordata; Actinopteri; Salmoniformes; Salmonidae
Source: Ensembl
CCUGGUCCAAAGGCCGUCUAUAUGAAGAUGAUAUAGAUUAAGCCUGGUCCAAAGGCCGUCUGGAUGAAGCAGAUAUAGAUUAAGCCUGGUCCAAAGGCCGUCUAUAUGAAGAUGAUAUAGAUUAAGCCUGGUCAAAGGGCCGUCUAUAUGAAGAUGAUAUAGAUUAAGCCUGGUCCAAAGGCCGUCUGUAUGAAGAUGAUAUAGAUUAAGCCUGGUCCAAAGGCCGUCUAUAUGAAGAUGAUAUAGAUUAAGCCUGGUCCAAAGGCCGUCUGGAUGAAGCAUCUUAAAGUAGGAGUGCUGAUUGAUGGUCAGCUUCCCCCUUUUAGAUCCCAAUAAAUACGGUUAUAUGGACAGGGGGACCUGAUCCUAGAUCAGCUCUCCUACUCUGAGACACAUGAUACAAAGCCCCAAGGAGCAACAAUCGGUUUCCCAAUUGAACAUGCUAUUUAAAUGCAGAACUAGUCUUAAAUCGGUGUCCGGGAAACUGGCCUUAAAUGUUGUCAGCAACGUAGCGCUGGUUAAAGGCGCCAUCUGCAGUUCAAACUGGCCUUAAAUGUUGUCAGCAACGUAGCGCUGGUUAAAGGCGCCAUCUGCAGUUCAAACUGGCCUUAAAUGUUGUCAGCAACGUAGCGGGGGUUAAAGGCGCCAUCUGCAGUUCAAACUAGAGGUCGGCCGGUUAAUUAGGGCCGAUUUCAAGUUUUCAUAACAAAUCGAUAUUCAGCAUUUCUGGACGCUGAUUAUGGCCAUGAUUACAUUCAAUUCCAUGAGGAGACUGAGUGGCAGGCUGACCACCUGUUACGCGAGUGCAGCAAGGAGCCAAGGUAAGUUGCUAGCUAACAUUAAACUUAUCACAUUAAAAAAAAAAUCAAUCUUCACAUAAUCACUAGUUAACUACACAUGGUUGAUGAUAUUACUAGGUUAACUAGCUUGUCCUGCGUUGCCUGUUAAUUUAGCAUCGAGUCACAGCCUGCCAAACGGGGGAUAAUUUAACAAAAACACAAUCAUUGCACGAAUGUACCCAACCAUAAACAUAAACGCCUUUAAUAAAAUCAAUACACAGAAGUAAAUAUUUUUAAACCUGCAUAUUUAGCUAAAAGAUAUUCAUUUUAGCAGGCAAUAUUAACAAGGGAAAUUGUGUCACUUCUCUUGCGUUCAUUGCACACAGAGUAAGGGUAUAUGCAACAGUUUGGGCCGCCUGAUUUGCCAGAAUUUUAGAUAAUUGUGACAUAACAUUGAAGGUUGUGCAACGUAACAGGAAUAUUUAGACUAAUGGAUGCCACCCGUUAGAUAAAAUACAGAACGGUUCCGUAUUUCACUGAAAGAAUAAACGUUUUGUUUUCGAAAUGAUAGUUUCCGGAUUUGACCAUAUUGAUGACCUAAGGCUCAUAUUUCUGUGUUUAUUAUAUUAUAACUAAGUCUAUG